RNAcentral lists this ribosomal RNA (400 nucleotides) under uncultured bacterium. RNAcentral's name for it is "bacterial SSU rRNA". It matches the Rfam family "Bacterial small subunit ribosomal RNA", at positions 355 to 748 of the family's 1533-position model. The record is from RNAcentral.
UGGGGAAUAUUGGACAAUGGGGGAAACCCUGAUCCAGCGAUGCCGCGUGGGUGAAGAAGGCCUUCGGGUUGUAAAGCCCUUUAGGUUGGGAAGAAGAGUGGGAGAGGAAAUGCUUCUGCUUUGACGGUACCGACAGAAUAAGCACCGGCAAACUCUGUGCCAGCAGCCGCGGUAAUACAGAGGGUGCGAGCGUUAAUCGGAGUUACUGGGCGUAAAGGGCGCGUAGGCGGUUAUAUGAGUGUGAUGUGAAAGCCCCGGGCUUAACCUGGGAAGUGCGUCGCAAACGAUAUAACUGGAGUAGAUGAGAGGGUGGCGGAAUUUCCGGUGUAGCGGUGAAAUGCGUAGAGAUCGGAAGGAACGUCGAUGGCGAAGGCAGCCACCUGGCAUCAUACUGACGCUG